CGGCAACAGCUCAAAUUUGAAAUCUGGCUCUCGGGCCCGAGUUGUAAUUUGUAGAGGAUACUUUUGAUGCGGUGCCUUCCGAGUUCCCUGGAAUGGAAUGUCAUAGAGGGUGAGAACCCCGUCU
Molecule: ribosomal RNA, 124 nt
Filed under: Fusarium sp.
Lineage: Eukaryota; Fungi; Ascomycota; Sordariomycetes; Hypocreales; Nectriaceae
Description: partial large subunit ribosomal RNA
Source: RNAcentral